UACGUAGGUGGCAAGCGUUGUCCGGAAUUAUCGGGCGUAAAGCGCGCGCAGGCGGCCUCUUAAGUCUGAUGUGAAAGCCCCCGGCUCAACCGGGGGAGGGCCAUUGGAAACUGGGAGGCUUGAGUAUAGGAGAGAAGAGUGGAAUUCCACGUGUAGCGGUGAAAUGCGUAGAGAUGUGGAGGAACACCAGUGGCGAAGGCGACUCUUUGGCCUAUAACUGACGCUGAGGCG
RNAcentral lists this ribosomal RNA (231 nucleotides) under uncultured bacterium. Its description in RNAcentral is "partial 16S ribosomal RNA". It matches the Rfam family "Bacterial small subunit ribosomal RNA", at positions 524 to 753 of the family's 1533-position model. The record is from RNAcentral.